Molecule: non-coding RNA, 24 nt
Filed under: Arabidopsis thaliana (thale cress)
Lineage: Eukaryota; Viridiplantae; Streptophyta; Magnoliopsida; Brassicales; Brassicaceae
Source: RNAcentral
AUUGUAGCCUGGAUACUUCAUCUC